This 395-nucleotide ribosomal RNA is filed under the name uncultured bacterium. RNAcentral describes it as "bacterial SSU rRNA". It matches the Rfam family "Bacterial small subunit ribosomal RNA", at positions 30 to 424 of the family's 1533-position model. The record is from RNAcentral.
AUUGAACGCUGGCGGCAUGCCUUACACAUGCAAGUCGAACGGUAACAGGUCUUCGGAUGCUGACGAGUGGCGAACGGGUGAGUAAUACAUCGGAACGUGCCCGAGAGUGGGGGAUAACGAAGCGAAAGCUUUGCUAAUACCGCAUACGAUCUCAGGAUGAAAGCAGGGGACCGCAAGGCCUUGCGCUCACGGAGCGGCCGAUGGCAGAUUAGGUAGUUGGUGGGAUAAAAAGCUUACCAAGCCGACGAUCUGUAGCUGGUCUGAGAGGACGACCAGCCACACUGGGACUGAGACACGGCCCAGACUCCUACGGGAGGCAGCAGUGGGGGAAUUUUGGACAAUGGGCGCAAGCCUGAUCCAGCCAUGCCGCGUGCAGGAUGAAGGGCCUUCGGGUU